UAAUACGGAGGGAGCUAGCGUUGUUCGGAAUUACUGGGCGUAAAGCGUACGUAGGCGGUUACUCAAGUCAGAGGUGAAAGCCCGGGGCUCAACCCCGGAACUGCCUUUGAAACUAGGUAGCUAGAAUCUUGGAGAGGCGAGUGGAAUUCCGAGUGUAGAGGUGAAAUUCGUAGAUAUUCGGAAGAACACCAGUGGCGAAGGCGACUCGCUGGACAAGUAUUGACGCUGAGGUACGAAAGCGUGGGGAGCAAACAGGAUUAGAUACCCUGGUAGUCCACGCCGUAAACGAUGAUAACUAGCUGUCCGGGCACUUGGUGCCUGGGUGGCGCAGCUAACGCAUUAAGUUAUCCGCCUGGGGAGUACGGUCGCAAGAUUA
RNAcentral lists this ribosomal RNA (376 nucleotides) under uncultured bacterium. RNAcentral describes it as "bacterial SSU rRNA". It matches the Rfam family "Bacterial small subunit ribosomal RNA", at positions 521 to 896 of the family's 1533-position model. The record is from RNAcentral.